Molecule: long non-coding RNA, 912 nt
Organism: Hemicordylus capensis (graceful crag lizard)
Lineage: Eukaryota; Metazoa; Chordata; Lepidosauria; Squamata; Cordylidae
Exons: 2
Source: RefSeq, a predicted model, not a curated record
CCCAUCCAGUGGCAGCCUACACCCACUGUCAGAAUUUCAUGUGCCAAGCAAAGAGAAAUAAAGCUUCGAGGCUCUGCUUGUCUCUGUGGGAGCGGAUCCUGUCAGCCUCUGGUACAAUGGAACAUUUGGCUGCCCCAUAUGCACCCAGAUAUGCUAUUUAUGGCCCCAUCCUGGGAUCUGCCUAAAGUCCUGUCAGUCCUCACAGGUGGAUGAUGCCAUGCCUGUGAAUUCAAUUCAGGCGGAUUCUUCCCCCAUGGUAUUGUAGCAAGAGAGCCUUGUGCAGCAGGCAUCCCCCUGGCAAACACAAAACUUAUGAGGAAAAAAGAGAGAGACACAACAAGCAGCAAGACGAGGCUGCUUCAUGCCAUAUUGCUGAGCUACUCUGUCCCAUUUCCUGUCUGGUUCCUAUCUAGUCUAUUUGGACCGUUUGCUAAAUGCCAAAAGCAAGGCAGCUUCAACAUGAUGCUCUCAGCCCAUGAGCACAUUGCUCGAUUGAAGUGGGCUACUGCUCCCCAUCCUCGGGAGCAGGCUUUGUGCCCCUGGAGCCCUUGUUCCAUGGCUGGAGGUCAACGAAGAGAGCAGGCAAGCAAGAGAGCAGAAUUUCAUUCGUAGCAUGUCUGGAGGAGAGGAUCAUGGAAGGCAAAAGCACAGAGAUUAUUGGAGAAAUUCACCUCUUCCAGAAUGUCACAGACUUCAUUGCACAAAAAUGGAAUUAAAGACUCAGUCUGACAGCUGUAAGCUCACCUUUAAUGAUGCACAGCUUCUUCUCAGUCUUUUUUUUUUUUAAGUACAUUGUGAGAAGAUUAAUUCACUCUAGAAGUACAGAGUUACACACUGUAAAGCCAGCACAAUCAGCUUUGUACCAGGGAGAUGCAAGUUGGUUCGGAAGGUAAAUAUCUGCUGGCCAAAGUU